GACGAACGCUGGCGGCGUGCUUAACACAUGCAAGUCGAACGAUGAAGCCGGAGCUUGCUCUGGUGAAUUAGUGGCGAACGGGUGAGUAACACGUGAGUAACCUGCCCUUGACUCUGGGAUAACUGCGGGAAACUGUAGCUAAUACCGGAUACGACCCUCGGAGGCAUCUCCUGGGGGUGGAAAGAAUUUCGGUCAAGGAUGGACUCGCGGCCUAUCAGCUAGUUGGUGAGGUAAAGGCUCACCAAGGCGACGACGGGUAGCCGGCCUGAGAGGGUGACCGGCCACACUGAGACUGAGACGCGGCCGGGACUCCUACGGGAGGCAGCAGUGGGGAAGAUUGCACAAUGGGCGCAAGCCUGAUGCAGCAACGCCGCGUGAGGGAUGACGGCCUUCGGGUUGUAAACCUCUUUUAGCAGGGAAGAAGCGAAAGUGACGGUACCUGCAGAAAAAGCACCGGCUAACUACGUGCCAGCCGCCGCCGUAA
RNAcentral lists this ribosomal RNA (484 nucleotides) under uncultured bacterium. RNAcentral describes it as "partial 16S ribosomal RNA". It matches the Rfam family "Bacterial small subunit ribosomal RNA", at positions 28 to 523 of the family's 1533-position model. The record is from RNAcentral.